AACAAGCAGUGAUGAUGAUGACUAUAUGUCACUUUUCCUGAAACUACCUGAUGUCUUUAAGUCACUACCUCAUCUGAGCUUGUC
Small nucleolar RNA from Osmerus eperlanus (European smelt), 84 nucleotides. RefSeq annotates it as small nucleolar RNA SNORD11B. Lineage: Eukaryota; Metazoa; Chordata; Actinopteri; Osmeriformes; Osmeridae. The transcript has a single exon. The record is from RefSeq and is a predicted model, not a curated record.